CUCUAGAUUAACGUAACCUUGUUCUAACUUCUAACUGUAUAAAUAAACUAUCCAUCCCAACUUCACUCUACAAGCAUCGAUCAGAUUUACCCAUUUUGAUAAAACCAACUUUUAGUCUACCAUGCGUAUACUUUCAUUGCCUCGACUCUGCAGGGAUGAAGUUGAUUCACCAUUUAUCUUGGACUUCAUCUGCUACGCAAAUCCCUUAACUGUAGGCAUUAAACAUCUCACAUUCAGUAUGUUGC
This is a non-coding RNA of Pelobates cultripes (western spadefoot toad), 245 nucleotides long. The record is from the annotation of a GenBank genome assembly. NCBI's taxonomy places the organism in Eukaryota, Metazoa, Chordata, Amphibia, Anura, Pelobatidae.